GGGAAUGAAAAGGAAGAACACUGUUAUUUUAGGGAAAUGUUUUGAGGAAUUUAGUGUAUUUUUUUCUGGCACCCACUCAGAAAAAUACUGUAAGCAAACUGUGAAACUUGGGUAGGAAUGUCCUAGUCGUCUCAUUAGCAAUUUAAACAAAACUAAGACUCGAACGCAAGUGUAAAGAUAAACAACAUCAGGAAAGGAAUUCUUCAGUAUGUCCUGAGAAAGUUGUCAUUGAAAUGAGUUUAUCAUUAAUUGAUUUGUGUACUUGGUGUGCUUGUUUUGUUUUACUCUUACAUUUGCUGUGUUAAACAGAUGAAUGUCAGCUCUUUUGUACUUAGCAAAUUAGUGAUUCUUCCCGCCUCCACCAAAUCCCUGAUUGGUCACUUUAGGUAUGACUCACCCUGUUGAAAAUGCACAAACAUAGCAAAAAAAUGGUACAUUAGUCAGAGUUCUCUGGAGAAAACCAAUAAAAUGACAUAGAUCUAUACACCCAGGCACCUGUCUACUUACUUUGGUACCUGCCUACCUACCUACUUAAACAUUUAGAGAUUGCCUGGGUAAGGAAAUGACCUGUGAUUGUGGGGCCUGGCAAGUUCAAACUGUGCAGUUUUGAGGCAGGCUGGAAACUUAUGCAGGGUUUAUCAUUUGCAGGUUUGAGGCAGAAUUUUUUCUUUGAGAAGCCUGAGUCUUUGCCCUUAGGGCAUUCAACUGAUUGGAUGUGACCCACCCACACUAAGGAGAGUGUAUUAAGCUCUCCAGAGAAGCAGAAUCAACAGGUUGGUUGCGUGUAUGUAUACAUAUACAUAUGUGUGUGUGUGUGUAUAUAUAUAUAUAUAUAUAUCAUUAGCAUAAGGAAUUGGUUCAUAUGAUUAUGGAGUCUGAGAAGCCCCCAAAUAUUUGCAUUUGGCAAACUGGAGAGUCAAAAAAGCUGAUGAUAUAGUUCCAAUCCAAAAACUGGUAAGCUCAACACCAAGAAGAGCCAGGGUUUCAGUUUGAGUCUAAAGGCAGGAAAAGACUGAGAGUGCAAUUCAGGUGGUCGGUUGGAAAAGGUGCCCUCUUAACUCCUGAGAGGGUGGGCUUUACUGUUCUAUUCAGGCCUUCACCUGACUGGUUGAUGCAACUGAUUGCUUACAUUAGGGAGGAAAAUUGGCUUUACUCAGUCUGUGAACUCAAAUGUCCACUUUAUCAAAACAUCCUCAUAGACACACCUGGAAUAAUGCUUGACCAAAUAUCUAGGCACCUGCGACUCAAUCAAGCAUGAGAUUAACCUUUUUUUUUUUCGCCAUUGUUAAAAGUACUGGGACCGAUGAUUUGUGAUUAAGAUACUAGAAAGAGGGGAAAAUAUCCAUUAUCCCACCAGAAGUUGUUUCUUUUCCUCCAGUCUUUUAUUUUUAUUUUUAUUUAUUUAUUUUUUUAGGACUACACCCCGAGGCAUAUGGAAGUUCCCAGGCUAGGGGUUGAAUCAGAGCUGUAGCUGCUGGCCACAGCCACAGCCACAGCAAUGUGAGAUCCGAGCCACAUCUUCGACCUACACCACAGCUCACGGCAACGCCAGAUUCCUAACCCACUGAGCAAGGCCAGGGAUCAAAACCCUCAUCCUUGGGGAUACUAGUCGGAUGCAUUUCCACUGCGCCACAACGGGAAUUUCCUCUUCCAGUCUUUUAAAUAAAAGGGUAUAUUUUAAAGCAUCUUGAAAAUGUUUGCAAAAAUGUUUCGAAUGUUUGAAAGCUUUUCUCUCUUUCACAUGUUUGUCCUAGUGGUCAGAGCAAAAAGACCAAAAUGGGCCCUGGGGCUCCCAGAUGUUUGUCCAGUAUCUGCGACUCACUAACUUCAUCAUUUGAGAAAGAGAAUCCUCUUGAACCGCAGUUUUCUUCUGUUUAUGUAUUGUUUCUGUUUGGAGAUCUCUAAUGACCUUUUCACCCUGAACUCCCUGAAGGCUUUCAUCAAAGCCCUUUUAAAGGCAGGAUGAGGGAGGGGCAUUGUUAGUUGUCGCAGAUUUCUUGGUGUGUUCCUGUAAAGCUCCAACAAAACAGAUGUUAUUCUCUGUUCUGCAAGUUUUUGUCUAAAAAUGUAAUACUCUUAAAGGUCAUGGCCCUAAGAAGAGGCUGUGUAUUUCAGGCUACAGGGAGCAUCCUAUAGGCGGCAUAUUUUUGCAAAAGGAGCGGAGCCAGGACGACUUAGCACAAGUGACAGAGGACAAGAAUUAAAGUAAGGUCAAAAUAAAAAGAACAGAUUCAAUAUAGAGUCAAAGUUGUUCUUCCCUAUUACAAGAGGGGUGGGUGGGGGUUACCUGGUCCGGUCCAUUAUUCCAUGCUGGAAGAUUGGAAGUGGUGUAUAGGGGAACAAUGUUUAGUUUACUAAUUCAGUAUUUUACUGUGAGUUUGAACCAAAUAGGAUUUGCAAAAAAAAAAUCAAGGCUUCCUGAUUAUUGAUGCUUAGGACAAGGUGAAAACAAAAGGAAUCAUUUUAGUGAAAAAUAUUAAGAAAAUAUGUGUUUUAUGCAUGUAUGGAGAAACAUUAGAAAUAUUGCAAGCCUGGGAUAGGUCCAAUAUACUCUAUUAAUUCAUGAAUCUAAGUUGAUGUGCUCUUAUGUUGCUUUUCAUGAGACCCAGAAAGACCACAGUUCUCUUAGGAGAACAGUGUAGAUGGUGAUUUAACCAUUUGCUUGACCUGCAUUGAGUGUAACCUGACAAGUACUGUGCCAGGUCCCAGGAUCCUUGGGUGAGUGGUUGUGACUUAGACCUUUGGUAGCUUGUAGUCUCAUGGGAUGUCAGGAGUGCAAAUGAGUAAUUGUAACCCAGUAUCAUAUCUGCAGUAGUGCAAGUAUGUACUAGGGACCAGACUGGGGAGAGCAGAGAGGAAGGAGGCCACCUCUUCCAUGGGAGCACCAGGGAAAGCAUCGCUGCAAUUAUGCUUGACCUGGCUGACACAUUGGGAAUGGCCAUUCCAGGUCUAGGGAAUGGUCAGUCCGGAGGCUUUCAGCAGAUUCUUGGGAUUCUUGGUGUUUCCUGAUAUGUGUUUUCAUAUAGGAAGAACCUACUAGAGAAGAUGUUGUUUUCACUCUCUCUUCCCAGUUCCAUGCCACAAGCCUGAGCUAAUCUUGCAGUAUUCAUGGAUUAGAUUCUGGAACAUUGGCCACCAUCUCUGCACUCUCCUGCUACCUGGCUCAGGGCUUUUUUUUUCUUUCUCUCCUGAAUGAGUCCUAAGUAAAAAUCCACAUAUCCUCUAAACAUUCAUUUUCAAUAUGGCUUUUGCUAUUUUUAAAAAGGCAAAGAGAAGAAAAAUGAUUUUCAUGAUCUUGGAUGAGGGAAGACUUUGUGGCCCUAAUUAAAUGCCUGAGUUUGGUUUUGUGUUUGCUGGGAGCCUACUGUAAAGCAAACCGAUGUGGCCUUCUGUUCUGUUCGAGGCGCCAAGAGCUUGCUGGGCUGGGUUCCCACUGAGUCUGGUAAUGCAUUCCUUCUGUCCCACCCUGUAUUGCAGAGCUUCGGAGGCUGAUGACAUCACCUUGGAUGAUAAAGCUGUCCUCCAAAGGGUUACAAGAAGAGCUGCCAGAGUGGAGCAAGGGAUGGAGGUGGGGGUGCAGAGGGGCUUGCCACUCUGUCCAACAUUGUCAUUGCAUUUGCCUUCUUAAAAAAAAAAAAAAAAAUCCUCUGUAGAAAUAGGAGAGAUUACACUUUUAAAUGUGAAGUAUUUUAUGGGGCUAAUUUAUUGCUCCAUUGCCGCCUGCCCUGCAAGCAGAUCUGUUCAUCUGUUCCCUUGACAGCCUGCAGAUUUAAGUUUGCCUUGCCUCCCAGUGGGCCUCAUCUGGACACCUUGGGAGCUGGUGGGAAUCAUGUAUAAAGUAGGUGUGGGCUGCCAGGGAGAAUCGUUUGAUGCAGUGUUCCUCUGGUUGAAAAUUUUCCUGUCAGGGCUGGGGGUUUACUGAUGCUUCUCGCCAUCCCAUCCUCAAUUCAAUUGUUCAAAGCUCCUCAUCGUUGUUUAAGUCCCAUCUUCAGUGCCACCUCUUGCAGGCACCUUCCCUGACUGUAUAAGGCGUGCACUUGGUAGCGUCACUUCUCAGUUGCCUCACUGCACUGCAGGCUGCGGGAAGGCAGGGAUGAUGGCAUUUGCGGGGAGCUUACCUCGUGCCAAGCCCCUUCUAAGUGCUUUCCGUGAGAGGCUGAGUUCCAGUCCCUAAGCUAGGCCACGCAUGUGAACUCUUUGAGGGUGAAAGAGGCAGGACUUGGGCUGAGGUUGGGCCAUGAUAAGGGGCCCUGGCUUUGGAGGUAGAAAUGAUCUUAGCCUGACGCCCUCUGAGCUUGUUACUCAGGGAACUCUAAUCUCAGUUGCCAGGCAUAUGACCACAGGGUGCUUGAGCCGUGUUUACCAUAUUUCAUCCCUUGCAAAUGGGACACUUUUUAAAAGCACCCACUUUUUGGGGGCUGUUCCUGUGGCCUGAGGAAGUUCCCGGGCAAGGGAUCAAACCUGAGCCAUGGCAGUGACAAUGCCAAGUUCUCAACUGCAGGCCACCUUUAACAUUUUUAACAUUUUUGAAACUGAGAAACAUCUUACAGUUGCU
This 4555-nucleotide long non-coding RNA is filed under the name Sus scrofa (pig). Its description in RNAcentral is "lncRNA (ENSSSCG00055000052.1)". Lineage: Eukaryota; Metazoa; Chordata; Mammalia; Artiodactyla; Suidae. The record is from RNAcentral.